Canis lupus familiaris (dog) is the source of this 20-nucleotide non-coding RNA. The record is from Rfam. Lineage: Eukaryota; Metazoa; Chordata; Mammalia; Carnivora; Canidae.
UGGGUGCGAGAGCGUCUGUG